UAGAUUUUGAAGGUUUUUAUUCAGAAGAAAGGAACAUAGAUUUAGAGUUUGGGUGGAUUUAUAUUCGAUUUGAGUAUGAUUGAUUAUAUUUGUCUGUAAUAUUUGGUAUGAGGAUAUCUUCUUGUGGGUUAAAUUUAUUUAUUUUUCUCCAUGUCUCUAUUUUUCGUUUCUGCUUGCAGCAUUAGAUUAGCCUUAUAAAUUACCCACCAAAUGUUCGAUUAAAUGCCUCAAUAAUGUAUAGCCUGGGCCUGGAUUAAGGUCAGGGUCUAUACUAGAUCUCUGGAUUAAGGUUAGGG
Molecule: long non-coding RNA, 296 nt
Filed under: Prunus persica (peach)
Lineage: Eukaryota; Viridiplantae; Streptophyta; Magnoliopsida; Rosales; Rosaceae
Description: long non-coding RNA (PPER_LNC008187)
Source: RNAcentral